Molecule: ribosomal RNA, 666 nt
Filed under: Hepatozoon canis
Lineage: Eukaryota; Apicomplexa; Hepatozoidae
Description: SSU rRNA
Rfam family: Eukaryotic small subunit ribosomal RNA
Source: RNAcentral
AUACAUGAGCAAAAUCUCAACUUUAUUAGAAGAGACGCAUUUAUUAGAUAAAAAGCCAAUGCAUGCUUUUACAGUAUGGAAAUUGGUGAUUUAUAAUAACUUAGCAAAUCGCAAAGUGAAAACAGGCGAUAAAUCAUUCAAGUUUCUGACCUAUCAGCUUUCGACGGUAUGGUAUUGGCUUACCGUGGCAGUGACGGUUAACGGGGGAUUAGGGUUCGAUUCCGGAGAGGGAGCCUGAGAAACGGCUACCACAUCUAAGGAAGGCAGCAGGCGCGCAAAUUACCCAAUUCUAACAGUUUAAGAGAGGUAGUAACAAGAAAUAACAAUACAAGGCAAUUAAAAUGCUUUGUAAUUGGAAUGAUAGAAAUUUAAACCCUUUUUAAAGUAUCAAUUGGAGGGCAAGUCUGGUGCCAGCAGCCGCGGUAAUUCCAGCUCCAAUAGCGUAUAUUAAAAUUGUUGCAGUUAAAAAGCUCGUAGUUGAAGUUCUGCUAAAAGUAACCGGUCUGCUUUUAAUAAAAGUGGUAUCUUGGUGUGUAUUUAGCAAUGAUGUCCUUUGAAGUGUUUUUUACUUUAUUGUAAUAAAGCAUAUUCAGGACUUUUACUUUGAGAAAAUUAGAGUGUUUCUAGCAGGCCAACGCUUUGAAUACUGCAGCAUGGAAUAAUAAG